Pelobates cultripes (western spadefoot toad) is the source of this 214-nucleotide non-coding RNA. Lineage: Eukaryota; Metazoa; Chordata; Amphibia; Anura; Pelobatidae. The record is from the annotation of a GenBank genome assembly.
GGUGACUAGUGACAGAGUGAGGAAGGGGGUGACACAGUGACAGAGUGAGGGAGGGAGUGACAGUGACAGAGUGAAGGAGGUGGUGACUGUCACUAGUCACCGCAUCCCUCCCUCUGUCACUAAUCACCACCUCCCUCACUCUGUCACUAGUCACCCCUUCCCUCCCUCACUCUGUCACUAGUCACCCCCUCCCUCUCUCUGCCACUAGUCACAC